UUGGCGCCAAAACUAGCGGCAAAUUUAAAAAGGAGGCCAACAUUUCGCUGUUUCGGCUUUUUAAGCAGCUGGUCGGUCCGGCGCCAAUAUGGCCGACCAACAUUGACAGGCAAGCCGUAAAAUAAAAUAUUUAUUAAUUGUAAUAGAAUUACGUUUAUUAUCUACAGUUUACCUUCAUUUUAACGCCUAUAUAUGUUAAGAGGUUAUAAACGAAUGGUUUCCGUACAAGUGUUUUUCAUUUGUAUUAGCAUUUAUUUUAUGUUACCUUUUAGCGCAAAGUACGCCAACAGAAUACUUAAUUCAGUCGAAACAAUUGGAAAAACUUUGUUUGUUGAUGAGAACGGGAUACCUAUACCAUAAGUAAACUUUCCCUAUUAUACCAGUUAUGCUGUAGUUAGUUUUGACAAAUAAGCAUGAUUUAACGAAAGUCUUUGGAACUAUGAAUAAGCUACAAACUUAAAUUUGAAGGCCGGCUUUUAUACGAGAAAAUUUUGAACCAUGGUUGAAACAAAUAAAUGUAAUAAUUAAAUUGAUAUGAUACAUACCUGCUAUUUUUGAAAUAUAUUAAUAUAUUGAUAGAAAGAUUGUUUCAGUUAGUAUGACUUCAGGUAGUUUCAGCAUUUUAGGUAUGUAAUUGUGCACUUAUUUUAUAAAUAACUUAGAAAGAAGCUUGAAACGCAUAGGGGCUCUUUAUGUGUGCUGUAUAAUUAAGGUUUGUAUG
This 721-nucleotide long non-coding RNA is filed under the name Sitophilus oryzae (rice weevil). Its description in RNAcentral is "uncharacterized LOC115883730". Lineage: Eukaryota; Metazoa; Arthropoda; Insecta; Coleoptera; Curculionidae. The record is from RNAcentral.